CUUUGAAAAUCAUAUUUUCCUGUCCAAGAGACGUGAAUUUGAGAUAAAUAAACAAACGUUAUAUUUAAUUUAGCUACACAACGUUCGAAUGUAGCUGGUGGUUGUCACAUACAUUUGGCUCUGGUGAAAUGCGUGGUCUGGGGUGUCCUAAUCGAAGCGACAAUAAUAAGAGGUUUUUACAUUUUCCUAAGGACCAGACUCGAAUAGAAGUGUGCCUUGCUGCCCUGCGAAAGACGGAGAAGUAGGAUUCAACAGAGGAGCACAUAUGUGAAAAACACUUUCUGACAGACCACAUAACGCCACUUGGAAUAAGCGAUGAUGCCAUUCCUAUCAUGCCACCAUACCUCGACGGACCACUAAAUCUGAUCAGCCCGUGGGCGAGGAGGAAUUGGUGGAUGAUGAUGUUGCUACGGCUAAACACGGGAGGAUACGCUCAUGAUUACUUUGAUUGAUAGCUUUCUUAUCGCAUUGAUUGUAGUCGUUGUUUUUAGUAAUCCCUGUCUACAUAUAUUUUAUUUACAGAAUGUUGAUGUUGAAGAAGAAUAUGAUGAGCCAGGCCGAGACAGAACCAUCUGCAUCUAUGUAAGUCUAGGUCCUGUGAACUGGUUGAAGGCACAAAGACAAGACAAGUUUCAUGGACCUUAACCUCAUGGCAAAGAACCUCAACACAAGCAAACCGAGGGUCUAUGACCUCUUUGACCUCUGCCUGGAGGGGAUCAACCUUAUUCAGAAACAAUCUGCCAACAAGAUCAAGUGGUUAACGGCAUCUAGAUCCACCUGAAGGGAGGCAGGGGACCAAUCAAAGUGUUGACCUGUGAGCUGGGCGGGCCUCAGUGUGACACACAGGGAAGUAGAAAGACCAGACUUUCUAGUUUUGGAGGAGAGAUCAUGCUUCUGCACACAGGCUUCCAUGUCUUCUCCCUGGACCUCCUCAAUGUCCACCUCUUGAACAUCG
Long non-coding RNA from Salvelinus namaycush (lake trout), 955 nucleotides. RefSeq lists it as uncharacterized. The record is from RefSeq and is a predicted model, not a curated record. The transcript is spliced from 5 exons. Lineage: Eukaryota; Metazoa; Chordata; Actinopteri; Salmoniformes; Salmonidae.